CGUACGGAGCCCCCGGUCGUCUCAUGGACUAUUGACCCAUACACCACUAAUCUGCUGCCACCAACCAGGUCCUCCUUGGUAAAUCACUUAGUCUCAGUCAGGUUCUCAAGUUAAAAAAGAAGAGUGUAGUUUAUUGCAGACACAAACAAAUUUUAACUGUGUUCCAAACGCUGUUACUCUUUACCUUCUUAGUCUUAUUUUAUCCUGUCUCUAUCUCUUCUACCUCCCCUCACUCAAGAACCAACUGCACUGUCUCUCUAUUUCCAACUGCCUGCCAACUGCUUUUCCAACUGCCUUUCCCCACCAACUAACCCUCUAAAACCAACCAACUACCCACUCAAACCUUGGGCUAAGCCCUUUUACAAACAGAAUCUAUUGGCGUGACCGAUCUAAGAUCAUCAAGAAUAGGCAGACCUUCUUCCUCCAGCUUAACUCUACACUUUCCCCUUACAACUUCUGAUUCAUUUUAAUGGAAGGUGAGCUGAAAUGUGCAGCAAAUGGGCGUUCCAUGGUAUGCACACCUUCAAAAUGUUCAUGGUCUUCCCAUCGGACUAGUGCUGAGCCUUUGGUCUGACUCUACAGCACUCUAUUUAUGUUCUUGCCAGAGUCCAGAUCAGGCCUGUGCAGUGGGAAUGGGGCAGCCAGGUACACUUGCCCCAGACCUCAGAGGGCAAAACUGGCCAGGUGGGGGCAGGAACUAGCUGUUUUGUUUUUGUUUGUUGGUUUGGUUUGGUUUGGUUUGGUUUUGGUUUUAGUUUACAGCGGUACCUUGGUUCUCAAAAUUAAUCCGUUCCGGAAGUCCAUUCCAAAACCAAAGCGUUCCAAAACCAAGGCAGGCUUUCCCAUAGAAAGUAAUGCAAAAUGGAUUAAUCUGUUCCAGACUUUCAAAAAUAGCCCCUAAAACAGAAAUGUAACAUGAAUUUUACUUUCCAACAAGACCAUUGAUCCAUAAAAUGAAAGCAAUAAACUAUGUACUGUACUGUAAAAUCAAUAAAACAGUAUUGUUGAUUAAAAAAAUUGAAAAUGUGAUUUCCCCCCUCCUUACCAGCGCUGAUGAUAGUCGUUGUUUGGAUGGGGGGUCAGGGUGCUCUUCCAGAAUCACAAUUGGUGACUCCUUUCCUGCCAUUCCUUCCCUUGCUUCCAAAGCGUGGCACUCAAACAGGAAGAGUAACACUCUCUAAUCGGAAGCGGGGGACUAAAAACAGAACAUGUUCGUCUUCCAAAAAAAAAGUUCGCAAACCAGAACACUCACUUCUGGGUUUGUAGCAAGUUGUUCCAAGUUGUUCAAGAACUAAGCUGUUCAAAAACCAAGAUACCACUGUAUAACUUUAUUCUAACUCCCACCCAGGCCUCAGACAAGCUCUGGACGGACUUGGUCCAGAUCCUGUAAUUUGGAGGACUCACACCUGAUGGGCAAUCAGAUUCAUAGAAAUACUAGAAUGAAUUAUUUCAAUGGGGAUAUAAGGGAAAACACUGCAUAGACUUCCCGGGCUCACAUUCUUCUCAUUGUCAUUCUGCAUUUGUCCUGCCUUUCCAAAUUGUAAAUUAUUUCCAGUGAAGGCCUGACCUGAGCAAAACCAGAAUGACAUAAGCAAAACUUUUGCUCUGAGUCAGUAUGAAGCCUUAUGAUUAUGCUUGCAGGUAACAAAAACAUAGAGGUGGGUAGAACAUUAUUUCUCAGUCAGGUAGCUGGCAAAUUGGAAUUUGAACUAAAUUAAGAAAAGCCACACAGAGUUGGCAGAGUUUGGGAAGAGCAAAGAUACAGUGAGGGAUAGACCAAGAGAACAAAAGGGUAUUUUAAGAAAAGAGGUUAAAGAUAAUGGCUUCAUCUCUUCUUUGAGGGUAACUUCAUCUUUCACCCACAUGGUGCAGGUAUCACACCAUGUAGCUAAAAAGAAUGAUUCAAAAAAUAGCAAAGAGUUCCACGAGGUCAUCAACAAGUGUAGGGAAUGGAGGAUUCUAGCAUGAGGAGAGAAUGGAGAGUUACAGAGGGGGGUGGGAAGUGACAGGACACAGAAUAAAAUCGACUCCAGUUCCAUCAACUGAAGAGGAGUUUUUCAAGAACGUCUCCCUCGACGGCAGACUUCAGGAUGGUCGACCUGCUCUAUGGCGAAGCUUUGUCCUGGACUGACCAUAAAAGAUUCAAGACUCACUUUUGCCUGAAUCUUUGCUGAAAGAGUAAUUUUGGUUUCAGUAAGCCACCUUUCAUCAGUAAUUAUACCCCUGUUGAUGCAUGCUAGGAUUGUGGACAUGUGCAUGGCUUUGUACUCAAUAAAACUGAGUUGUAGCUUU
Podarcis raffonei (Aeolian wall lizard) is the source of this 2292-nucleotide long non-coding RNA. RefSeq lists it as uncharacterized. The transcript has 2 exons. Lineage: Eukaryota; Metazoa; Chordata; Lepidosauria; Squamata; Lacertidae. The record is from RefSeq and is a predicted model, not a curated record.